GACGAACGCUGGCGGCGUGCUUAACACAUGCAAGUCGAACGAGGGCCCGGAGCUUGCUCCGGAGACCCGAGUGGCGAACGGGUGAGUAACACGUGACCAACCUGUCCUAGGGUGAGGGACAACCCGGGGAAACCUGGGCUAAUACCGCAUGAUGUCUCGUCAUCGCAUGUUGAUGAGAUCAAAGAGAGCCUCUGCUUGCAUGCUCUCGCCCAAGGAGGGGGUCGCGACGUAUCAGCUUGUUGGUGGGGUAACGGCCUACCAAGGCUACGACGCGUAGCGGAUCUGAGAGGAUGAUCCGUCACAUUGGGACUGAGAUACGGCCCAG
Molecule: ribosomal RNA, 325 nt
Filed under: uncultured bacterium
Lineage: Bacteria
Description: bacterial SSU rRNA
Rfam family: Bacterial small subunit ribosomal RNA
Source: RNAcentral